This is a long non-coding RNA of Homo sapiens (human), 1219 nucleotides long. Lineage: Eukaryota; Metazoa; Chordata; Mammalia; Primates; Hominidae. The record is from Ensembl.
UGAUAAUCUAAGGAAAUUCACCGAAAACCUCCAGUAGCCACCUGCUCUUUGCCCUGACAGUUCUCAAGGAAGUGGUCCUCCUGCUGCCCCAAGCCUGUCAGCCUCCAUGAAACCAAGCCUUCCACACUAUAAUACAGAAAAGUAAAGUCUUUGCUUUCCGGGCUACCUUGUAGCAAUUUGAGGCUCUGUCAUCAGUUUCUGCUACGUUUCAAAGAUCCAGGAGAAGCUUAGUGUUGUGUCAAGACGCCGAUGGACCCAUCACAGUUUAAUCCAACCUACAACCCAGGGUCUCCACAAAUGCUCACCGAAGAAAAUUCCCGGGACGAUUCAGGGGCCUCUCAAAUCUCCUCCGAGACGUUGAUAAAGAACCUUAGUAACUUGACUAUCAACGCUAGUAGCGAAUCUGUUUCCCCUCUAUUGGAAGCUUUACUCCGUCGAGAGUCUGUGGGGGCAGCAGUCCUCAGGGAAAUCGAAGAUGAGUGGCUUUACAGCAGGAGAGGAGUAAGAACACUGCUGUCUGUGCAGAGAGAAAAGAUGGCAAGAUUGAGAUACAUGUUACUGGGCGGAGUUCGUACGCAUGAAAGAAGACCAACAAACAAGGAGCCUAAGGGAGUUAAGAAGGAAUCAAGACCAUUCAAAUGUCCCUGCAGUUUCUGCGUGUCUAAUGGAUGGGAUCCUUCUGAGAAUGCUAGAAUAGAGAAUCAAGACACCAAGCCACUUCAGCCAUAAAUCUUAUUCUUGCACCUUUUUUUCUUGCUAGUAAUUUUAUAUAGCAGGUUGAGAAAGCUACUCUAUGCUAGUAUAGACUAUACACCAAUAAUUUUGAUAAUGAGUUCUAGGAUGUAUUUUUCUUGUAUCUUUUUCUUCCUACUAUGAUACUAGUAAUUCAUAAGGGAUCUGUGUAAUCUGAAUGUAUUUCAAUAACUUUAGCUCUACUGUUUGAUUUGACCCAAAGAAGCCAAGACGAUAUAAGUAUUCCCAUGUGUCUUAGAAGCCCAAAGUCAGUGAGAUGAAACCCAACAUCAAGAAAUUGAAGCAAAGUUACUUGUGGAUAAAGAAAGCAUUAGGUAGUUUGGCUAUAGCAUAAUUAGAUUUUCUGGCUUUCAAAAAUUUGGAUUGCAAUCACAGCAAACUUUGUUAUUUUUACAGUUUUCAGUACAAAAGUGUUUAUAUAGAAACAAUAAAGUUGACAUUUGAGUACCUUUAAAAAAAAAAAAAA